Molecule: long non-coding RNA, 8655 nt
Organism: Peromyscus californicus insignis
Lineage: Eukaryota; Metazoa; Chordata; Mammalia; Rodentia; Cricetidae
Exons: 5
Source: RefSeq, a predicted model, not a curated record
UUCAUUCAUGAAAGCAUUUGCACACACCUGUUAGUCUGAAUUCCUAACUUUCCUGAAUGGCUGAUAAUCACCUCUACACAGAAUUCAGAUUAACAGUCUACAUCACUCUUAAUAGAAUAAGGUGGGAAAGGGAUGGCAAAAGACAUGGCAUGUCACUGCCAAUGAAACACACAAAAGCAUCCUAAUAGUUAAUGAGCCAUUAGUCCCCUAUGAACAGCAUCCAGGUCACUUACUCUUUCCCCUGAGAAGAGAGAUCAGUAGUAAAAUCCCUGAGGGCAACCCAGAAACUUAAAAACAGGGACCCAGGACAUGUUUUUAGAAUGGCCCAGAAGACUCCAGAAGCCCAAGAAAGGUGUCACCUAGCACAGAAGCUGAAGGCUAAGUUAAAAUCUCAGACCAUCUGUUUACUGAAAUUCCUGGCUUAGAUGGAGGGGAAACGGCAAGAAAGCUCUGUUACCCCAGGAACGUUGACUCUGCCAGGAUAAGCAGGCAGAGUAGUCCAUUGGCUGCAAAAAGGUAAUAGUUGGAUCUUUUUGGAAUCAGUAACUGGGGGAAAAGCUAGCACCAGUGAGUUUUAUCACAGCUAAGUAAUUAUUUGAGUUUACUUUUUCUUUCAUUAAAAUGUGUUUUAGGAAUAUGUUUUAAUUGGGUGUGUUGCUUUCCAGAACUCUGAAGAUUUAUCUCCUUCCCUGGGGAGAUGGAAUCUGUUUGCAGGAAGAGAAACCUACAUGGUUGGUUAGAUGGUUACUAAGCAUUCUAGGCGAAGUAGUUUGCUGAGUGCUGUGAAUGCUCGCAUCUUGUUGAAUUCUCCCCCGAAACACCUUGAGGUAGGUACUGAUGCUGUCUGUAUUUUACAGAGAAGGAGCCUGAAGCUGACAGGCACUAAAGGACUCACCUAAGAGCUCAUGUCCCUCAAAGUGGAAGUUGUCUGUCCCCAGCUCGCUGAGGGUCCCCUACUAUCUGUCAACCCAAGGCCUGGCUGGAUAUAGACAAAGAAGAAAGCAGAGAAUGCAUGGAACUCACAAAUGAGGAAGUGGGAAGGAAAGGGGGGACAAUGUAGAGCCUCAGGAUAUGGCAGAGGACCAGAAACGCCUUCCCUCUUGCAAGCUGCUGAGCAGAAAAUGUGAAAUCUUAACUAUUCGGCAUCCUCCAUCACUGAGCCCUCUUACUGGUUGGGUCCACAUUGCCUCAGCUUUAUAGCCGCAGAUACUACAGGCAGCUUCUAAGUCCUGAAGACACAGUGAGAGGACAGGACAUCCAGAUUUGGCAAUGUACAGCCCCAGAUUUCUACAGAGCCAACCAGAGACCCUAACCUCUCCCAGGCCCAGUUCAUGAUGCUCGCUUCAGAAGGGCUGCCUUUGUGUGGCAGCUUAACAACUAAAGGUGUAAUGUUAGGAAGGUGAGAAGGAAUACUCCCAGGUGUCCUGUUUGUCAUUUUCCUGCCUUUAAUCAGAUUUAGUAUAUCUGUUAACUUAACUAUCCCCUUGAAUUCUCGGGCAGACUCUUUAACCUGCCCAGGCACUGUAUGUUCGAGUUCGGAUGAGAAUAGCGUUCUUGCUCGCUUGCUUUUUCUGCCCUGAGCUCUUCCUUAUCAACCAGAGAGCCCACAGAGUCCGCACUUCCUUGCCUGUGACAAUUUACAUGUGUUCCCCUUUCUGAAAGGAUCAAAGCUAACCAUCAAUAAAAGGUAGCUGAGGACACAGACUAUUUCUGUUUAAGGUAAUAUCAGGACACCCAGGAGCCUCUCAGUUGCUGUGGGCACAACUUCUGCAGAAUCGGUUGGAAACAUUUUGCCUACUUUUUCUAGUUUCAAACUCAUACCUUGCUUGGAAUACAGAUGAUUCCUAACAUGGAUAAUGCAUGUCUGAAGUCGGGGGUGGGGUUGAGUCCACAGAGAACUGGGGUUCCAAGACCUGUGAGCAAGAUUUGAUAAUUUUGUAACCAUUUUAAAGGGGAUUUGAUACAUUCUUGGCUACACUAACGUUUGUAUUUGUGAACUACAAUUGAUGACACGACCUCUCCUGCCAGCUGCUGGGUUCUGCCUAAGGACUGCAGAGAAGUAGACGGCUACGGUGGGCAGGUUUCCCACUGCCAUUGGCAGGAAGCCCUGGUGGAGGUCGGGAAUGCAGAGGAAAGGAUGCCCAGUAGAGCCAUGGAAGAGAGGGUGGAGCCCUGGUCCUGGCCAUCGGGUCUGGCCAAGUUUCCUGCUGCGGUAUUAUUUAUGUGGGCCUUCCUUUGUGUUGACUAGUUUUCUUUUUUCACUUUGGCCUCCUCCUAAGCUUUGUGUGAUGGGUUUCUUAAAUAAUAUUACUUCAAAAAUUAAAAUGCUCCAUGUAACAGCCAUGAUUAUCAACUAUCUCAAAUAAUAGAGGCAAUCACUAAUCCAAGUCCUCACUUUACCACUUAGAAAAAUGAGGGAAGAUAAGAGCCUCAGCUGAGAAAAUCUCUCCAUCAGAUUGGCAUAUAGGCAAAUCUGGUGGGGCAUUUUCCUGAUUAAUGAUUGAUUUUGGGAGGCUCAGCCCACUGUGGUUGGUGAUACUCCUGGAGAGGUGGUCCUGAGUUGUACCAGAAAGUAGAAUGAACAAGCCAUGAGGAGCAAGGCAGUAAGCAACACUCCUCCAUGGCCUCUACGUCAGCUUCUGCCUCCACGUUCCUACACUGACUUCCCUUCAUGAUGGGCUGUAACCCGUCCUCCCUGGGUUACUUUGGCCAUGGUGUUUAUCAUAGCCAUAGAAAGCAAAUGAAGACAGCAGACGUUUGUUUUUCAGGAGACCCUGAACUCUGAGAUGUUGAAUGGCUUGCUUACAGCCACAAAGCCAAUUCAAAGAGAGUAGAAACCCAGGUCUUUUCCAUUUUAGGUUGGGAUUUUGCUACCACAUGUCACCCCUAUAAAUCUGAACCUGUUGCCUUUCAUUCUUUAUGUCACACAUAAUUUCUCCAGACGCCGGAGUCCUUUCUUCAGCCUUACCUUUACAGCAGUAAGUAACUCCCUGGGAUCCUACCACUUUGCAUUGCUUUCAGAUUUCUAAGUCUUUUGAAAAAGCAGACCGCAUUUUGACUAGUUUUGGAUGUUUACAGUCAGACCCUCUACAACCGAGUCCUAGAGCUAUGCAAGCUCCAACUCAUUGUUUAACUUCUCUGUGCAUUACUUUUCUCAUCUGCAUGGUGGAAAUAGAAGAGCCCACCUUGAUUCAGUGCAGCCCUGGGGACCUCACAGGGUUGUUUUGAGGCUUAAAAGAUGUGAUGACUAGAAAAUGCCAUACCACACAAUUAGUGUUAGCUAUAGAAUUGAGUAUAUUACCUAUUUUUCUGUCACCCUUUGUUUUUGGUUGUUGUUGUUUUGUAACAGCCCUGGCUGUCCUGGAACUCACUAUGUAGACUAGGUUGGUCUCAAACUCACAGAUGUCUACCUGCCUCUGCCUCCAGGGCUAGGGCCAUUGAAAAAUCCCAGCCUCUGUUGUUUGCUCCUCUAUAAUUCACCCAUUCCUUUUCAGGGGUAUUCCCCCUACAUUUCCCUAAUUCUGAGAUUCCUAACCCAGAUUCCUCAUUUCUUUUCAUCCAUCUUUUUAUUCAUGCAACUCACAGGGAGUGAGGAUCACACUUGGGUACUUAGAGGCAUCAAUGUUCAGGAAGGAUGAGGUCAGCUCUUCAAAACAAUGACCUUCCCUUUAGUAGUGGGAAUCUCUGUCAUUCCUGCUCAGAAAUUAUUUGUGCUUAACUUAGCUAUAUCCAGAUUUCUGCCACUUACUGCUGGUGUGACUAUGGGCUACUGACUACACUUUUCUCAGGGUCAGUUUACCAGUCAGUUAAAAGGGGGAUUAAAAUGACAAUCCCAACACUUGGCCACAGAUGUACUAUAAGGAUUAAGUGUGAUAACAUGAAAGUAUUCAUGCUGGUGCCUGGCACACAUAAGAAGCCUGUGAUGUAACUAUCACCACAUAUUCUUGCAAAAGUGCACUAGAGUGGACCACUCGACACAUGCAGAUCCCCCCAUUCCCUUUCUUAUGAUAUUUAAUCAGGAAGAGUUAGUGUGUUUUAAAAUCCAGUUGCCUGUGCAUUGUUUAUACUAUUUUGAUUAAUUUUAUGAGCCCUCCUCAUUUCUGUCUAGCUCCAUCUACAAGUCAGAACAAUGAACCAAAGUGAGGGGUUGGUCUCCACCAUCAGGGUUGGCAAGUCAAGUUUUGAUCUAAUAGGCUAAGGAAAGAGCUUGUAAGAACUUACUGUAUUUUAAAAUUGUGGACUGGAUUUCAGUCAUUGAGAGCUAAAAGAAACCACUGAGAGCUUUGAGGUCAGCCUCACAUUUUCAGAUUAAAAGAAAAUGAAGGACUAGGGAAGCAUAAGGCCACAGCCACGGUCACACAGGUGACUGUGGUGGAGCAUGGUCUUGAUACUUGUUCCCAUGGGAGCUGCCUUCACCUGGCUGCCAGAACACUGGGUAAAAACAUGGAGUUUUUAGCUUAUUACUUUGGAUCUUUUUCUGAUAGUGAGUGGUUUUGGUUUUUUACCUGAAUACAUUGGAGGUCCAUUAGUACACAGAAUAACGAGUGCCUAUCUACUGAUUUCCUGUUCUGUUCCAGGGACUUCACAGUCAUUCUUUUUCUAUACUCGCUCCAGUUCCUUGGGGGUAGAGGCUAGUCUACCCUGAGAAAGUUAAGAACCCAGGAAGCUAACAAAAGACCCUGCCACCAUUCCAACAGGCCCUGGUUGAUACUGAGAUCUUUUUAUCUUCAGGCAGCUUUGCUUUGCCCUGGGUCAGGAUGCUUAGUUCAUGCAAAGAACUGGCUUCCUGAAGAAGUUCUGAGUGUGGGAAUAGAAGGACCAGAGUGAGAUGAUGGUGGAUUUUAGAAGCAACACACAAAGUCUUCCAGAGUGGAACAGCCGCUUCAAUUCAAGUUUCUACCUGGACAUGAUGAAAUUCCAAGCAUGUUCUCACCUCAGUCCCUGGUUUCAAGGUGUAUUAGUCUGAAGAAUUCUCACUGUCUGAGGAAAUGAUAUUGCCAGAGAGGUAGAGGUCCCCAACUCACUGUAGAACAGAAACCUAAACUUUCCAAGUUAAAGGCCAACCAAUCGCUCCAGACAAGACACUGGAGAGAUACACAGCACGUGUGAUCGGGAUCGGAAAACGUCUUGAAGAAACAAGUCAGCAAGGCUUCCACAAAUCAAUGCCCAGAGACAGAAAGCCCGCUAGACAAAUGCAUAAAGGCAGGACUGUAGAGCGCAUUUGAGAGGUCCACCACAGAUUGCUGUCCUGGAUGCAUUCAGCACUCAGAACACUCCAUGAGAAUUCCCAUGGAAAUACAUGAAAAGUUCAAUCUUCCAAUGAGCAGCUGGGGAGUCGGCCCCACUGAGAAGCCAUAAUUUCCAUUCGAAACAGAACGUGAGUCAAGUACAGAUGGGGGGGGGGGAACCCCUGGACAACCCAGAAGCUGUGCUGUGGCCUUUCUGCUUCUGCGGCAUGCCCGCACUCGUCAGCAAGGAAGCUGAAGAGGAUGGCUGAGAAGGUAAAGGACACACUGAAAAGCCUGACUCAUGGCUCUUUCAGUUCUUGCUCUCCUCGGUGAGCAAGGUGGAGACACGCUGGCCAUGAAUCAAGAGGUGAAUAAAAACCCGUUUCCACCGCCCCGCUGCGUGGCGGGCAUUCCCGGAAGCUAUGAGGGGCAGGGCAGUCUCAGGGAUUCUGCGUGGCAGUUAAAUCCGCGUCUGUCUGUAUUUAAAAUAGACACUGCACAGUGUCAAGGCGAAAGUCCCAACGAUUUCAUCUUUAACUUUUCUUAGAGUAGUAUUAGGAAACAUAAAACACUAUGGCCAGUCAAGAGAGGGACACCUUAAAGUCCAGUCCCUUCCAGGGCACCUUUCUUCUGGUGCCAUGGAGGUGAUACUCCCCAAGCUUCAUGUCCUACCGGGCCUGCAAAGCCCACCGUCAGCCCUGUGUGGCCCAUGGAAACAUGGACAAGAAUGCUUGUGUGAGCACAACUAUAAAAAGUGAAAUAAUCCGAUAUCCAGGGAUGGGGGAACAGAUGGACUGUGACGCAGCUCAUGAACGCUGCAGUUGCACAGCGGUGUCAAACGGGAGAAAAAGAUUAAUAACAAAAAGGACAUUGAGAAGUAAUUCAAGCAAGAGAACUUCCUAUGAGGUAUCAGGGCACCUACCUAAUUCCAUAAAACUCCCGCGUAUUAUAUAAUACAGAGAGAGAGAGAGAGAGAGAGAGAGAGAGAGAGAGAGAGAGAGAGAGAGAGAGAGAGAGAGAGAGAGAGAGAGAGAGGUAUAUCCGGAUAUAUAGCUGCAUUGACCAGCACACAUCAAACUCAUGCCUUGAUUUUACUCAAGAGGGAGAAAGACAAUGACACUAGAAAGAGGGAAGUUGUGGACUUUAAAUUAAUUUAAAUUUUUAUGCCUUAAAAAUUUGACAACCUGGGCCAGCAGAACGGCCCAGCAGGUGAAGGCACUGUCCACCGAGCUGACAACCUGAGUUCGGUCCCUGGAACCCACACGGUAGAAGGGAACAACUAACUCCUCCAAGUUGUUUUCUGAUUUCCGUAUGUGCACUGGGGCACCUGAGCCCCCCUACAAUGAAUGAAUGAAUGAAUGAAUGUAAAUUUUAAUUGACAAAAAUGUGAACCUACGUAAAAUCUUCAGUGAUGAAUAUUUGUGUUUAUCUGUUGUUUUUAGUGUCCUCCAUAAUUUGUAAUAUAAAAAUUCUCCUAAUUUAGGUCAUGUGGGCCAUCCGUCCACCUAUUCUAGAUGUAAUUUCUAAAACACAAAGAAUUAAUUGAUGGGAAUGCAGCAUGGAGCCCUUUCUCUCAUGUGUUUCUCUGAGCUAGGUACUGAAACAUGGCUCUGUCUAUUUAUCAAUGGGAGGAGAUGGCAGAGGGUCCUGGAGUCAGUCUCUGCAGUGCUCAUGAAUGGAGGUCACGCACAAACCAUUCGCUCAUUAUCUGGUUGGCACAGAAAGACACAUUCUGCAUCAAAUUUUCCCGAGUAGUAUUUGUUUUUUUUUUUUUUGGAGGGGGGGGUUACUCCUUUGAGUUAACUUUCCUUUUUCUUCUUUCUAUUUUUUUUUUUAAUGCCCAUGACUUUUAUGUUCUGAGUUCGCUAAUAAGAAAUCAGUCUUUUUGGAAUCUUCCAGGACCUUCUAAAGGAUGAUUACAUUCUUGGCUUUGGAAUGCUCUCAACACAGUGGUGGAUUACUGAUCCACAUAGUCCCUCAGUCCUGGCUCUCCCACAGCUGUCUUAGCUCUUUAAACUCAGAAGGCUUUGGGUUCCAAUUCAUUGACCCUGAGCACAAUAUAAGAUGGAAAUUAUUUUGGCUGCCGAGGCAGGAUGUAGCCCAUUCAUGUAUAAAACCAUUGCGAAAAACGAAAGGAAGUUAAUUUGGAAAGCAAUGCCUGUGUUUGGUUUUGUUUUUAAUUCUCUUCGUUUCUAGAUGCUGGCGCCAACCCUGGGAGUUCAGCUGCUACUUGAGACCUGACUCUCGGGUGUGACCUGUUGAUGGCAAGUAGCCCUGGAAGGUGACCUUCUCACGAUCCACCUAAUACCCACCUGUCUGCUGCCUCCAUUUCUAGCCUCCUUCCUGCCCUCUCCUGUGAGCAAAGCAUGCACAGAUUGCACUCAAGGACAUGGAGACUUGACAGACUAUGUGGUCCACCAUCUGGAAGCCAUACACACAGUUACAGAGAUCCAACAUGGAGAAUCAAUUCUACAGGGAUGCAAAAGCGCACCACGUGGGCAGACAAGAUGCUGGACACCAGACUCUCCUCAAAGACAACUGUACCAAGUCUGCUGCUGCCACUGGUCACACUGGGCACUCACCCCAGCUUGAAAGAAGCCCUGUAGCUAAGACUGGAGUAGCCCUGGCCCAGCAGCACAGGGACUGCCCCCGCCACACACACACACACACACACACACACACACACACACACACACCACUGUUUUCACCAAGCCACAUAGUUUCAUGCUGUUUGAUGUUUCACCCAGCAGCUAGAUAUACUUUUAUUUAAUAAUGACUAAAAUAUUUGGCUUCUUUUCCAUCUCUUCAGAGUUAUAGGUAACACUCAAACACUAUUGCACUCUGCUCUCUUUCACAGAGAGGGGUACCUGAUAAAUUACGUUAUUUGAAGGACUGGUCCAAGUGAGAAGGCUCUGGUGGAUGUUUGUGCAUGGCCCUUCCUUGCUCAGCUGUUCUCCACAUCAGUUCUCAUUAAUAUUCUCAACAACGCAAAGCCUGGGUGUGUUUUAGAGUCCUUCACAUUUUGUUUUCAAGGGUUUUUUAAAGGGGGUAUUCCAACUGAUAUUAUCAACAAUAAAUGCUGUUAUCUUUAAUUUGUUUAGUCUAAUGUUACGUAAUUUUUCAGAAGAACUUUGUUGGUGUUUUCCUUCGACUCUCUGAUCCCAGCCCUGGGCUUAAGGACACACUAUGGCAUCACCUGAGCCAAGCAGCCCUGUCAAAGUGUGAUGUGAUGUUUCUGUUUUUCCCUGGUAAUACAUCUGUCUUAAUCAAGGAGACCAGGACCCUAAGAAAAUCAGGGCUCCUGUUGUGGGAAAUACAACCAAUAUGGUCUGAUUUGGGACUGUUGGAACCUAUCUGAAGGUACCAGGUGUAGGAACACUAGAGGACUAGGAGGAUCCAAAAGAAACAAGAACUAUCUUCAAGUUUG